GCAAAUGGUUUCUAUGGGACACCAAGCAUGUGGUGCUUUGGAGCUUUUUAACUAUCCAAUGUGGAUGAGGGAACUCAUUACCCAAAACCCAGAUGGGACUGAUAGACCUGACCUCGUUGAUUUCCCAGCACUUGAAGUUUAUACGGACAGGGAGAGGAAAGUUGCAAGAUACAACGAGUUCCGCAGGGGAUUGAUUUAAUUCCUAUUUCCAAAUGGGAAGAUCUGACGGAUGACGUUGAUGCUAUUCAAACAUUGCGUGAAGUGUACGGUGAUGAUGUUGAGUAGCUUGAUCUAUUGGUGGGUCUCAUGGCGGAGAAGAAGAUCAAGGGAUUCGCCAUCAGCGAAACGGCAUUCGUCAUUUUCAUCGUCAUGGCUUCCAGAUCUGUUCUUCACGA
Molecule: long non-coding RNA, 395 nt
Organism: Telopea speciosissima
Lineage: Eukaryota; Viridiplantae; Streptophyta; Magnoliopsida; Proteales; Proteaceae
Exons: 3
Source: RefSeq, a predicted model, not a curated record